GCGACGGUUGUCCCGGUUUAAGCGUGUAGGCUGGUUUUCCAGGCAAAUCCGGAAAAUCAAGGCUGAGGCGUGAUGACGAGGCACUGCGGUGCUGAAGCAACAAAUGCCCUGCUUCCAGGAAAAGCCUCUAAGCAUCAGGUAACAUCAAAUCGUACCCCAAACCGACACAGGUGGUCAGGUAGAGAAUACCAAGGCGCUUGAGAGAACUCGGGUGAAGGAACUAGGCAAAAUGGUGCCGUAACUUCGGGAGAAGGCACGCUGAUAUGUAGGUGAAGUCCCUCGCGGAUGGAGCUGAAAUCAGUCGAAGAUACCAGCUGGCUGCAACUGUUUAUUAAAAACACAGCACUGUGCAAACACGAAAGUGGACGUAUACGGUGUGACGCCUGCCCGGUGCCGGAAGGUUAAUUGAUGGGGUUAGCGCAAGCGAAGCUCUUGAUCGAAGCCCCGGUAAACGGCGGCCGUAACUAUAACGGUCCUAAGGUAGCGAAAUUCCUUGUCGGGUAAGUUCCGACCUGCACGAAUGGCGUAAUGAUGGCCAGGCUGUCUCCACCCGAGACUCAGUGAAAUUGAACUCGCUGUGAAGAUGCAGUGUACCCGCGGCAAGACGGAAAGACCCCGUGAACCUUUACUAUAGCUUGACACUGAACAUUGAGCCUUGAUGUGUAGGAUAGGUGGGAGGCUUUGAAGUGUGGACGCCAGUCUGCAUGGAGCCGACCUUGAAAUACCACCCUUUAAUGUUUGAUGUUCUAACGUUGACCCGUAAUCCGGGUUGCGGACAGUGUCUGGUGGGUAGUUUGACUGGGGCGGUCUCCUCCUAAAGAGUAACGGAGGAGCACGAAGGUUGGCUAAUCCUGGUCGGACAUCAGGAGGUUAGUGCAAUGGCAUAAGCCAGCUUGACUGCGAGCGUGACGGCGCGAGCAGGUGCGAAAGCAGGUCAUAGUGAUCCGGUGGUUCUGAAUGGAAGGGCCAUCGCUCAACGGAUAAAAGGUACUCCGGGGAUAACAGGCUGAUACCGCCCAAGAGUUCAUAUCGACGGCGGUGUUUGGCACCUCGAUGUCGGCUCAUCACAUCCUGGGGCUGAAGUAGGUCCCAAGGGUAUGGCUGUUCGCCAUUUAAAGUGGUACGCGAGCUGGGUUUAGAACGUCGUGAGACAGUUCGGUCCCUAUCUGCCGUGGGCGCUGGAGAACUGAGGGGGGCUGCUCCUAGUACGAGAGGACCGGAGUGGACGCAUCACUGGUGUUCGGGUUGUCAUGCCAAUGGCACUGCCCGGUAGCUAAAUGCGGAAGAGAUAAGUGCUGAAAGCAUCUAAGCACGAAACUUGCCCCGAGAUGAGUUCUCCCUGACUCCUUGAGAGUCCUGAAGGAACGUUGAAGACGACGACGUUGAUAGGCCGGGUGUGUAAGCGCAGCGAUGCGUUGAGCUAACCGGUACUAAUGAACCGUGAGG
This 1446-nucleotide ribosomal RNA is filed under the name Escherichia coli. RNAcentral's name for it is "partial 23S ribosomal RNA". It matches the Rfam family "Bacterial large subunit ribosomal RNA", at positions 1495 to 2916 of the family's 2925-position model. Lineage: Bacteria; Pseudomonadati; Pseudomonadota; Gammaproteobacteria; Enterobacterales; Enterobacteriaceae. The record is from RNAcentral.